AAAGGAUGACAAAAACAAAGUAGUCCGUGUAAUAAUUGAAGGGGUGUUGUGUGAAAAUUUGGAUUAUAGCAAGAUAGUAGCAUGAGACCAGUGUUUAACUGAAAAUUAACAUUGAUAACUCUCUAUAAAAUUUCACGAAGUGGAAAUCUAUUCAACAUGGCUUCAGUAUAGUGUGUGUUUCAGACAGGAAUUUCUCGUAAAAGCAUUAUGAUUCGUGAAAGUUGUUGAUUGUAUUGUAGAGCAGAAAUUUAGUACAAUCAUUGUGCAGAAGUUAAUUAAAAUAUUAUCUUUGGCAGUAUAUCUAAAGUAAUAUCAUAGUUUGACUAUAAUUGUAAACCUUAAUCUAUAUGAAAGAAAAAUUUUGCACAGCCUUUAUAAAAAAAAAUACUGCAAAUUGAUAAACUUCCUAGAGAAUAGAUUUAUUCUAUGAGGGGUAUAUUUAAAUAAAACAAGUAGGCUAUGUCAUCUCACAUAAGGGCGAUAUUGUGUGUGCUUAAAAUAAAAAUAUCUUUGUGGCGUUUAUUAAUGUUAGUGUGGCGACUGUGAACAUAUGACUUGGGCUCUAAAUUACGAUUGAUUAAUGUUUCUGAAAGAAUAGACAGUUUGUUAGAAAGAUGUACUAAAAAAUAUGUCGAUCCAUCAUAAAAAUAGCAUCGAUAUCGAUAUAAAACGAUACGAUAUAUUUCAAGGUCUAGGUUAAAAUAUUGUUAAUCUCUGCUGAUUCAUUAUUGAUAUAUUGAAACGAAAUAAUAUAUAUUUUCUACUCAAUUCAGAUUCAAAAUAAUGGCAAAUAGAACGGCAAGCAGGCCAGCUAAUGGGCAAAACAAAAUCUGUCAAUUCAAACUGGUCUUGUUGGGAGAAUCAGCUGUCGGAAAAUCAAGUUUAGUAUUGAGGUUCGUCAAAGGACAGUUCCAUGAGUUCCAGGAAAGCACGAUUGGAGCGGCAUUCCUCACCCAGACCGUUUGCUUGGAUGACACUACCGUCAAAUUCGAAAUAUGGGAUACUGCGGGUCAAGAACGAUAUCAUAGUUUAGCACCAAUGUAUUAUCGUGGGGCUCAAGCAGCUAUUGUUGUCUACGACAUAACGAAUCAGGACACGUUUAGCAGGGCUAAAACGUGGGUGAAAGAAUUACAGAGGCAAGCCAGUCCAAAUAUUGUUAUUGCUCUAGCUGGCAAUAAAUGUGACUUAUCUAACAAACGCAUGGUCGAAUGUGAGGAAGCUCAAGCAUACGCCGAAGAAAAUAGCCUCCUUUUUAUGGAAACUUCUGCAAAAACUGCGAUGAAUGUAAACGACAUAUUUUUAGCAAUAGCGAAAAAAUUGCCGAAAAAUGAUGGUGGAUCGGGUGGAAAUGGUUCUUCGGGUGUCAGCUUGGAAAGGACAGAUCCUAGUUCUGGUGGCGGAUGCUGUAAAUGAAGAAUGAGACUAUUAAUUAUUUUUGAGAUGCUAACCGAAAUAUUAUAGGGUUUUUUUAUAUAGUGACAACUGACGCUCUGUGUACUUUUUCUCUGAAACUCAAUAAUAUUCGUAGCAUCCUGCAUAUAAAAAAGUUCCAUAUGAAUGCCAUCACUACGUAUUGAUAACAUUUUACGAAUACAAGCAAAUUGGUACGGACUAUUAUCUUUUUUAUUAAUCAUGAUAUUUAAUUGUAUGAACUUGUCGCUUUAUUGUUGAUUAGUUAUGCUGAAAGUUUUUGUUAUUGACUACAUUUAUAACUUCGAAUAUGAUUCCUAUGUACAUAUAUGCAUAACUAGGAAUGAGUAUUAUUCAAACUUAAUUUCAUGUGCAAUGUGUCUAAAAACGUCAAAGCAUUCACUUAAAAACCUGUGCUUCGUAAUGCGAAUACUUUAAUUCCAUAUAAUCAUAGUUGAAUGUUCAAAUAAUUGCAAUGUAUAAAAUAUCGGUAAUAAAAGAAAUAAAAACAAAGUAAUCUCA
This 1932-nucleotide unclassified non-coding RNA is filed under the name Dimorphilus gyrociliatus. RNAcentral describes it as "dgyrCDS11128". Lineage: Eukaryota; Metazoa; Annelida; Polychaeta; Dinophilidae. The record is from RNAcentral.